RNAcentral lists this small nucleolar RNA (84 nucleotides) under Cicer arietinum (chickpea). Its description in RNAcentral is "Small nucleolar RNA Z102/R77". It matches the Rfam family "Small nucleolar RNA Z102/R77". Rfam says of the family: Z102 and R77 and are members of the C/D class of snoRNA which contain the C (UGAUGA) and D (CUGA) box motifs. Lineage: Eukaryota; Viridiplantae; Streptophyta; Magnoliopsida; Fabales; Fabaceae. The record is from Rfam by way of RNAcentral.
GGAUGACAUGAUGAAUUAAUUAUUUCCCUAUUGGUUUGAUUGCCUGGAUGAUGGCAUCUGUGUAUUAGCUCUAUCUGAUCAUCC